This 235-nucleotide ribosomal RNA is filed under the name uncultured bacterium. RNAcentral describes it as "partial 16S ribosomal RNA". It matches the Rfam family "Bacterial small subunit ribosomal RNA", at positions 96 to 334 of the family's 1533-position model. The record is from RNAcentral.
UGGCGAACGGGUGAGUAAUACAUCGGAACGUACCCAGUAGCGGGGGAUAACCUCUCGAAAGAGAGGCUAAUACCGCAUACGACCUACGGGUGAAAGCGGGGGACCGCAAGGCCUCGCACUAUUGGAGCGGCCGAUGUCGGAUUAGCUAGUUGGCGGGGUAACGGCCCACCAAGGCGACGAUCCGUAGCUGGUCUGAGAGGACGACCAGCCACACUGGAACUGAGACACGGUCCAG